AUUGAACGCUGGCGGUAUGCUUAAGACAUGCAAGUCGUGCGGUAGAAGGCUUCGGCCUUUGAGAGCGGCGGACGGGUGAGUAACACGUGGGAAUCUGCCUAUUAGUGGGGGACAGCCCAGCGAAAGCUGGAUUAAUACCGCAUACGCCCUACGGGGGAAAGCAGCAAUGCGCUAAUAGAUGAGCCCGCGUAAGAUUAGCUAGUUGGUAAGGUAAAGGCUUACCAAGGCGACGAUCUUUAGCUGGUCUGAGAGGAUGGCCAGCCACAUCGGGACUGAGACACGGCCCGGACUCCUACGGGAGGCAGCAGUCGGGAAUAUUGGACAAUGGGCGCAAGCCUGAUCCAGCAAUACCGCGUGUGUGAAGAAGGCCUGCGGGUUGUAAAGCACUUUCAGUUGGGAAGAUAAUGACGUUACCAACAGAAGAAGCACCGGCUAACUCCGUGCCAGCAGACGCGGUAAAGUAGUCGUGU
Molecule: ribosomal RNA, 470 nt
Filed under: uncultured bacterium
Lineage: Bacteria
Description: bacterial SSU rRNA
Rfam family: Bacterial small subunit ribosomal RNA
Source: RNAcentral